This is a small nucleolar RNA of Amaranthus tricolor (Joseph's coat), 94 nucleotides long. RefSeq annotates it as small nucleolar RNA snoR128. Lineage: Eukaryota; Viridiplantae; Streptophyta; Magnoliopsida; Caryophyllales; Amaranthaceae. The transcript has a single exon. The record is from RefSeq and is a predicted model, not a curated record.
UUGCCAUGAUGAUAACGAAAGUAAUGAAAAGCUUUGUACAAAUGCUUCAUGAUAAUUCGGCGUAAAAGGCCGACCUGAGCGGUUACCGGAGCAU